RNAcentral lists this long non-coding RNA (311 nucleotides) under Vigna radiata. RNAcentral's name for it is "long non-coding RNA (VRAD_LNC001373)". The record is from RNAcentral. Lineage: Eukaryota; Viridiplantae; Streptophyta; Magnoliopsida; Fabales; Fabaceae.
AGUUGGAAUAAACCGAGAAUGAAAGACAAAAUCACACAGGGCACAGGAAAUCAGAAAAUGGUACAACCUAGGACAAGAACAGUGAAGGGAAAGAGGGAAAAUCUACUUACCCGCUGGAACGCAAAACCAAUCGGAUGGUUUCGUAGCUCUUGACUCCAGGAACAAGGAAACACCACCAAAUUAGGAUUCAAUAGGUGGAAAUGGCUGGAAACCUAGAGAGAAGUCAGAGCACUUGAGUUAGGGCAAGGUUCUAAUGAGAGAAAAGGAAGAGCUGAAAUGUUUUCCUGAUUUUUGGCUAAGUCCCUCAAGAC